Molecule: non-coding RNA, 114 nt
Organism: Acanthosepion pharaonis
Lineage: Eukaryota; Metazoa; Mollusca; Cephalopoda; Sepiida; Sepiidae
Source: the annotation of a GenBank genome assembly
UUACGGCCACAUCACGAUAAAAUACCGGUUCCCGUACGAUCACUGAAGUUAAGCAAUGUUGAGCGUGGUCAGUACUUAGAUGGGUGACCGCUUGAGAAUACCAGGUGCUGUAAG